AUGGCUCAGGAUGAACGCUAGCGGCAGGCUUAACACAUGCAAGUCGAGGGGCAUCGGGAGUAGCAAUACUUGCCGGCGACCGGCGCAAGGGUGCGUAACGCGUGAGCAACAUGCCCGUAUCAGGGGGAUAAUCCAUGGAAACGUGGUCUAAUACCCCAUAGUAAUUAUGUAAGGCAUCUUAUAUAAUUUAAAGCUUUGGUGGAUACGGAUUGGCUCGCGUGACAUUAGCUAGAUGGUAAGGUAACGGCUUACCAUGGCUACGAUGUCUAGGGGUUCUGAGAGGAAGGUCCCCCACACUGGAACUGAGACACGGUCCAGACUCCUACGGGAGGCAGCAGUGAGGAAUAUUGGACAAUGGAUGGAAAUCUGAUCCAGCCAUGCCGCGUGCAAGGAAGACGGCCCUAUGGGUUGUAAACUGCUUUUGUAUGGGAGCAAUAAGGGCUACGCGUAGUCCGAUGAGAGUACCAUACGAAUAAGCACCGGCUAACUCCGUGCCAGCCGCGGC
This 505-nucleotide ribosomal RNA is filed under the name uncultured bacterium. RNAcentral's name for it is "bacterial SSU rRNA". It matches the Rfam family "Bacterial small subunit ribosomal RNA", at positions 19 to 518 of the family's 1533-position model. The record is from RNAcentral.